RNAcentral lists this unclassified non-coding RNA (988 nucleotides) under Cladophora laetevirens. RNAcentral's name for it is "sequence contains ITS1, 5.8S rRNA gene, ITS2 and 28S rRNA gene". The stretch from base 504 to 608 matches the Rfam family "5.8S ribosomal RNA", at positions 40 to 154 of the family's 154-position model. Lineage: Eukaryota; Viridiplantae; Chlorophyta; Ulvophyceae; Cladophorales; Cladophoraceae. The record is from RNAcentral.
UCGUGGAGUGGUAUUGUGGUGUUGCGUGGUGAAAACCCGCAUCAUCCGCCAACCCAUCCUUGGCUAGGGCCGGUGACUACUACUACGUAGUUUUCGUCGGACCCAGGCCUUUCUGCCACGGUGCCCCCGUAGCAAGCGGACACUCGUUGCUGUUGCUGUUGGUGGUCAUCAUCGUUAUGAUCAUUAGCACAUCAUUAUCNAUGAGGCCGUACNGGUGGUACNGGUCNGCGUUCANGCCACGCUCGAUGUCGUNUUMGUGAUGGCAUCGUCGUGAACAUCCUGGNGCCGGCCGGGAGCUCCACGCUCCGUUUUCAUNGUAUGUAUGUAUGGAAACGGGCACGCAGCGUGGGCGGUUUUCCUCCCCGCUGUGGGGGCUCCCGCAACCACUAUNNUACAUCCUUUAACCUGUGCAAUAGCUUGAUCGUNUAGCACGUCGAGCAAAAUAACAUAGAAUAACACUGUACAAUGGAUNNNNNNNNNNNNNNNNNNNNNNNNNNNNNNNNNNAGCGCGAUAGGUAGUGUGAAUUGCAGAAUUCCGUGAAUCAUCGAAUUUUUGAACGCAUAUUGCGCCCAAGUCUCCGGACUUGAGCAUGUCUGCCUCAGCGUCGUUUUCAAUGGCUUGCCGUGUAUGGCUCUUGCCUGCGUCAGAAAAGUUACCAUAAAGAUAACUAUUAUGACCUGACCGGCAUGAGCUGAAUUUCUGCAAUCGUACUCGUGCGAGGUUGGUAUACUACGUAUCAACCAUCACACGACAUGCGACAGCAGCCAUCCCCGGCACUGUUCAUCGUAAGCAAGCUACCUCGCGUGGCCUCCUGCUUUCUCAUGGGCAAGUGUGAUCACAUCAACAUCACCGCCACGAAUCACAUCGUGGCAUGGUGGUGGUGGAUCAACGGGGCAGCGGUGGCAUCUCGGAUGCUGCAUGUUGUCUGGCUGUCGACACCAUUCGACCUGAGUUCAGGCAGGGUUACCCGCUGAACUUAAGCAUAUC